AUAAGCUUGAUUCCUACGGGAGGCAGCAGUAGGGAAUCAUCCGCAAUGGGCGAAAGCCUGACGGUGCAACGCCGCGUGAACGAUGACGGUCUUCGGAUUGUAAAGUUCUGUUGUUAGGGAAGAGCACGUGCCAUUCGAAUAGGGUGGCACCUUGACGGUACCUGACCAGAAAGCCCCGGCUAACUACGUGCCAGCAGCCGCGGUAAUA
RNAcentral lists this ribosomal RNA (208 nucleotides) under uncultured bacterium. Its description in RNAcentral is "partial 16S ribosomal RNA". It matches the Rfam family "Bacterial small subunit ribosomal RNA", at positions 326 to 525 of the family's 1533-position model. The record is from RNAcentral.